GCAUAUCAAUAAGCGGAGGAAAAGAAACCAACCGGGAUUGCCUUAGUAACGGCGAGUGAAGCGGCAACAGCUCAAAUUUGAAAGCGGCCCUCCGGUCGCGUUGUAAUUUGCAGAGGAUGCGUCGGACGCAGCACGGCUCCAAGUCCCUUGGAACAGGACGCCACAGAGGGUGAGAGCCCCGUUGGAGUCGGAACGGUCCAUGUGAUGCUCCUUCGACGAGUCGAGUUGUUUGGGAAUGCAGCUCAAAAUGGGUGGUAAAUUUCAUCUAAAGCUAAAUACUGGCCAGAGACCGAUAGCGCACAAGUAGAGUGAUCGAAAGAUGAAAAGCACUUUGGAAAGAGAGUUAAACAGCACGUGAAAUUGUUGAAAGGGAAGCGCUGGCGACCAGACGUGCGGCGCGUGCUCACGGUGGUUUCGGCCGCCUGCACUCGCGCGUCGCAGGCCAGCAUCAGUUCCGGCGGUGGGAAAAAGGCUGUGGGUUGCCUCUCGGGGUCGCCCGCGGUGCCAUGCCGCCUGCUGGGACUGAGGACCGCGCUCUGCUCGGAUGCUGGCGUAAUGGUCGUCAGCGACCCGUCUUGAAACACGGACC
RNAcentral lists this ribosomal RNA (589 nucleotides) under Kendrickiella phycomyces. RNAcentral's name for it is "eukaryotic LSU rRNA". It matches the Rfam family "Eukaryotic large subunit ribosomal RNA", at positions 38 to 667 of the family's 3401-position model. The record is from RNAcentral. Lineage: Eukaryota; Fungi; Ascomycota.